GGAGAACCUUCGUUAAGGAAUUAGGCAAAUUAGAUCCGUAACUUCGGGAGAAGGAUCGCCUCUGUAGGAUGAAGCCGACUAGCUCGGUUGAGUCUGACGAGGCCGCAGUAGAAAUGGCUCUAUCGACUGUUUUACCAAAAACACAGGUCUGUGCGAAGUCGUGAGACGAAGUAUACAGGUUGACGCCUGCCCAGUGCCGGAAGGUUAAGGGGAGAGGUUAACGCUUUGAACCGAAGCCCCGGUGAACGGCGGCCGUAACUAUAACGGUCCUAAGGUAGCGAAAUUCCUUGUCCGGGUAAGUUCCGACCCGCACGAAAGGCGUAACGAAUGGAGCACUGUCUCAACGAAGGACCCGGUGAAACUGAACUAGGAGUGAAGGAUGCUCUUUACCCGCAGCAGG
Molecule: ribosomal RNA, 400 nt
Filed under: uncultured bacterium
Lineage: Bacteria
Description: bacterial LSU rRNA
Rfam family: Bacterial large subunit ribosomal RNA
Source: RNAcentral